Molecule: long non-coding RNA, 763 nt
Organism: Elaeis guineensis (African oil palm)
Lineage: Eukaryota; Viridiplantae; Streptophyta; Magnoliopsida; Arecales; Arecaceae
Source: RefSeq, a predicted model, not a curated record
AGCCUGUUGCAAAAUUUACUCAUUAGCCAUUUUUUUACUAAGAAGCGGAGGAGGCGGAAGGCCCCACGCUCGGCAUGGCGGAUUAGGGUGAGGGUUUCGUUCAUAAAGCGGGAUCCGUCCCAUCAUCAGAUGAGAAACGAGGAGGUCAAGAUGUCAAGGAGGAGCAGAUUCUCCGGCUUCAAUUCCUCCAUCGGAUUCUUGAAGACCGGAGGGUCGACUUUCCGAUAAAGCUUCGGCCUCAAGGCCCUUCUUUGUUUUCUUUAGCCAAUGCCUGAUUUCUUUCUUUCUGCGUAUAGAUUGGCUGGUGUCAUCAAGAUUCUUUGAAUGGCUAGGCCACCAAUACUUGGAGAUUCAACGUGAGAUCAGUGGAACAUCCAGUUUGUACAAGUGAUGAUGGGUGACCAGAAUGUCUAUAUAUAUAUUAAGACCUUGUGCAACGUGUGCGGCCUCCGUUAUAUGGAGGAAUCGAUGCGGCUUAACACGAACCUAACUUUGGGCCCAUCAAACUUCAUUAUGGAGGCCAACCGCCGUCCCAACUGAGCAACAUAAAUUUAGCAAAGCUUCCUGAAGGGCUCAAUGAUUCAAGAAAUUGCAUAAGGGAGCAAUCCAUCAACAAUAAUUCAGUUGCAGGAGAAAAUUAUGCGCUACAAAUUGUUCCUCUUCUCCCUCCUCUUGGAAGAAGAGAAUGUGGAUAACGUGUGUUGUAGGUGACUUUUGCAACUGGUAACGAAUAGCAAUAAAAUUUCAGAAUUGUUCAUGGUAU